AAAUAGAUACCCUGGUAGUCCACGCCCUAAACGAUGUCAACUAGCUGUUGGGCCUUCGGGCCUUGGUAGCGCAGCUAACGCGUGAAGUUGACCGCCUGGGGAGUACGGUCGCAAGAUUAAAACUCAAAGGAAUUGACGGGGACCCGCACAAGCGGUGGAUGAUGUGGAUUAAUUCGAUGCAACGCGAAAAACCUUACCUACCCUUGACAUGUCUGGAAUCCCGAAGAGAUUUGGGAGUGCUCGCAAGAGAACCGGAACACAGGUGCUGCAUGGCUGUCGUCAGCUCGUGUCGUGAGAUGUUGGGUUAAGUCCCGCAACGAGCGCAACCCUUGUCAUUAGUUGCUACGAAAGGGCACUCUAAUGAGACUGCCGGUGACAAACCGGAGGAAGGUGGGGAUGACGUCAAGUCCUCAUGGCCCUUAUGGGUAGGGCUUCACACGUCAUACAAUGGUCGGGACAGAGGGGUCGCCAACCCGGCGAGGGGGGAGCCCGAAUCCCCGAGAAACCCCGAUCGUAGUCCGGAUCGCAGUCUGCAACUCGACUGCGU
RNAcentral lists this ribosomal RNA (547 nucleotides) under uncultured bacterium. Its description in RNAcentral is "bacterial SSU rRNA". It matches the Rfam family "Bacterial small subunit ribosomal RNA", at positions 776 to 1321 of the family's 1533-position model. The record is from RNAcentral.